GGGGCGGUAGCUCAGCCGGUCAGAGCAGAGGACUCAUAAUCCUCCGGUCGUGGGUUCGAGCCCCACCCGCCCCA
Molecule: transfer RNA, 74 nt
Filed under: Nocardiopsaceae bacterium
Lineage: Bacteria; Bacillati; Actinomycetota; Actinomycetes; Streptosporangiales; Nocardiopsidaceae
Description: tRNA-Ile
Rfam family: tRNA
About the family: Transfer RNA (tRNA) molecules are approximately 80 nucleotides in length. Their secondary structure includes four short double-helical elements and three loops (D, anti-codon, and T loops).
Source: RNAcentral